AAAUACGGCCAUACCAACCUGGCUAUGCCCUAUUUCGUCUGAUCUCGGAAGCUAAGCAGGUUUGGGCCUGGUUAGUACUUGGAUGGGAGACGCCUGGGAAUACCAGGUGCUUUAAGCU
This 118-nucleotide ribosomal RNA is filed under the name Carassius auratus (goldfish). The record is from RNAcentral. Lineage: Eukaryota; Metazoa; Chordata; Actinopteri; Cypriniformes; Cyprinidae.